AGCCGCUCAAGAUGGCAGUACCUCUUCACAACACAUUGCUAAUCAGUUGAAAGCAUCAAACGGAGACAGCAUAUGCCUUAUCCCAUACAACACUGGUGGAGUGAGGACGUACCUUUGUAUGAGGGGUAAUCCAAAACGACCAACUUUCAAACAGUUGACGGGUAAUCUCAAACAACAAGGUUGUGUUGAAUGUGGAUACUGUGUCAUGCGGU
This is a long non-coding RNA of Zingiber officinale, 212 nucleotides long. RefSeq lists it as uncharacterized. The transcript has 3 exons. The record is from RefSeq and is a predicted model, not a curated record. Lineage: Eukaryota; Viridiplantae; Streptophyta; Magnoliopsida; Zingiberales; Zingiberaceae.